Molecule: long non-coding RNA, 1296 nt
Organism: Dalotia coriaria
Lineage: Eukaryota; Metazoa; Arthropoda; Insecta; Coleoptera; Staphylinidae
Exons: 2
Source: RefSeq, a predicted model, not a curated record
CUCAGUUGCGGUUGAAUGUAGGAGGUGGAACGAUACCUAUGUGACACACCUGGUGUGAGUGAACCACACAGAAAUGCCGAAAAAUCGAUACGAUGAUCUGCAACAGAAAUUAGCAAAAAUGAUAAAGUUAAAUCAAAGAAGAGUAAAAACCGUGACACCAAGCUGGAAAUGGAAGAACAAGAGAACACCUUUGAAAAUUUCGAGGUUAUCAGAAGCCGCAUAGACGAACUAGAAGAAAAUACAAAAAAUGCGAAGCUGCCUACAGGAAAUCUGCAAGUUCAAAAGGUUUUCCAACCAAAACAAUUUCAUUCAAAAAUAUACCUACAUUCAGUGGCGGAUUAUGCUUCAGUGAGGCCCUAGGCGCAAAUCAGGUUUGGGGCCCCUAAAUCCUAAAUUUAAAAAUAUAUUCUAAUAAUACCACAAUAAAAUAAAAGACAAUACAAAUUUAAAUACAAAUUACAAAUUUACUUUUCUUGCCUUCUCUUGGGCAAAGAUUUCAAUAAUUUUGUCGUACUCUAGUUUUUUAAAAAACUCAUUCAUUUUCUAUGAACAUUAAUGCCAGGUCAUUUAAGUGCUCUUGUGAAAGACUAUUGCGCAGAUAGUUAUUGACUCGUUUUAAAACUGAUAAUGUCCUUUCUCCACUUGCAUUAGAAACGGGCAAGGUCAAAAAAAUUUGCAGUAUUGUGUGUAUAUUUGGAAAAGUUGAUUUUAGACCAUUACUUAAUGUUGCAUACAUUUCAUGUGGAUCUCUAAUAUUUUCUUCUUGUAUGUAUUUUAGAAAAUGAGUUAACUCAUCAGUGAAAUAUUCUGGCUCAAUAUCUUUUUCAUACUUAGAUAAUAAUCGCUCUACACAAUUAUUAGUCUCAACACGACUUAAUUUUAACUCAAAGAAAAUUUUAAAAUCGUUAAGAACAUUGAUAUAGACAUCGCCCCUUCGAGUAAUUUCCAAUAUUCCACCGUCUUGUAGAUGCAGCAAAGAAAGAAGGUAUAGGUAUAUAUUUUGCAAAAACAUAUAAUACUGCAAUGCUCCAGAACAAGACUCCGCUGCAGUAUUCCCAGCCAAAUUUAAAGAAUGACUUCUACAUGGUAUGAAUUCAGCUGAUUUGGAAUGUUGUUUUAUGCGUGCCUGUAAUCCACAGUACUUGCCAGACAUGUUAGCAGCGUUAUCAUAAGAUUGGCCCCUACAGUUUGUGAUAUCUAAGCCAUAAUCAUGUAACUUUCUAAGUACAAUUUCUUCUAACGUUGAAGAAUCAUGUCCAAGAAAUUUAAUAAAUUCAAAAAAUCUUUCUCUUACUA